Molecule: ribosomal RNA, 269 nt
Filed under: uncultured Planctomycetales bacterium
Lineage: Bacteria; Pseudomonadati; Planctomycetota; Planctomycetia; Planctomycetales
Description: partial 16S ribosomal RNA
Rfam family: Bacterial small subunit ribosomal RNA
Source: RNAcentral
GAGCACGUAGGUGGGUUUGUAAGUCAGAUGUGAAAGCCUUCUGUUCAACGGAAGAAUUGCAUCUGAAACUGCGAGUCUUGAGUGUAGGAGGGGAGAAUGGAACUUCUGGUGGAGCGGUGAAAUGAGUAGAUAUCAGAAGGAACGCCGGCGGCGAAAGCGAUUCUCUGGCCUAUUACUGACACUCAGUGUGCGAAAGCUAGGGGAGCAAACGGGAUUAGAUACCCCGGUAGUCCUAGCCGUAAACGAUGGGCACUAAGUAGAGGGGUUUU